GCAUGCACACACCGGUAUAAUUUUUUUUUAUCACGACCAGUCAAGUGACCUUAUUAGCAGGAUCACAUUAAAUGUACAACCUACAGAUAAACAAUAAUAUGGCAAGAACAGCAGUGAAUAAUUGCACAUCAUUAUACAUAGGUUUCAAAUGACAUUGUUUGAGUUACUUCCCUUAAAAGCCAUUUCAGAGGGAUAAAUGGUAAAUUUUCUUAUUUUUUAUUAACCUAAUUGGCCAUUUCAGAAUUUAAUGCAUUCUCGGUAAUAUUUCAAAAACAUACAUCAAAACGUUGUUGUUGGUUUAAGGUGGUACCCAACACUUUCACUAAAAUUAAUUUGGCUCGUUUAAUUUUCAUAAAAUUUUGUCAAAUUAUUUACUUUGACACUUUAACAAAAAUAUAAAAAUUUAAAAAAUUUUGAACCAACCGUUUUGCCAGAAAAAUUACACUGGUUAUAUAGCAAUUUGACAAACACCAAUAUUGAUCAUUGAGAAGCUUAAUAUUCCUUUUACACACAACGUAAUUAAAACGUUUAGCUGAUUUUACAGAGUUAUCUCCCUGUAGUGUUAGGUACCAC
RNAcentral lists this long non-coding RNA (573 nucleotides) under Mytilus galloprovincialis (Mediterranean mussel). The record is from RNAcentral. Lineage: Eukaryota; Metazoa; Mollusca; Bivalvia; Mytilida; Mytilidae.